GUUUUGCAAUCAAAGGAGCAAUCCGCUGAGAGAUGGACUCGCGUCCGAUUAGCCAGUUGGCGGGGUAACGGCCCACCAAAGCGACGAUCGGUAGCCGGACUGAGAGGUUGAACGGCCACAUUGGGACUGAGACACGGCCCAGACUCCUACGGGAGGCAGCAGUGGGGGAUAUUGCACAAUGGGGGAAACCCUGAUGCAGCAACGCCGCGUGUGGGAAGAAGGUUUUCGGAUUGUAAACCACUGUUCUCAGGGACGAUAAUGACGGUACCUGAGGAGAAAGCUCCGGCUAACUAC
RNAcentral lists this ribosomal RNA (294 nucleotides) under uncultured bacterium. RNAcentral's name for it is "partial 16S ribosomal RNA". It matches the Rfam family "Bacterial small subunit ribosomal RNA", at positions 192 to 504 of the family's 1533-position model. The record is from RNAcentral.